This is a long non-coding RNA of Papaver somniferum (opium poppy), 202 nucleotides long. RefSeq lists it as uncharacterized. The record is from RefSeq and is a predicted model, not a curated record. The transcript has 3 exons. Lineage: Eukaryota; Viridiplantae; Streptophyta; Magnoliopsida; Ranunculales; Papaveraceae.
UAACUGUAGAAAUGAGGUCUAUCACAGGCAAAUAGGUCCUGCAAUGUUCCAACAGAUGACAGAGCAGGUUUGUGAGCAAUGUCCAAUUAUCAAAUAUGAAAGAGAGGGGUACUUCAUCACUGUUGAUAUCGAGAAAGGGAUGCAAGAUGGACAAGGAAUUCUGAAGCGUAGGAUGAAAUAUCUCGGGGAAUGAUAACUGGUC